RNAcentral lists this ribosomal RNA (253 nucleotides) under uncultured bacterium. RNAcentral describes it as "partial 16S ribosomal RNA". It matches the Rfam family "Bacterial small subunit ribosomal RNA", at positions 524 to 776 of the family's 1533-position model. The record is from RNAcentral.
UACGUAGGUGGCAAGCGUUGUCCGGAUUUCCUGGGCGUAAAGAGCGCGCCGGCGGUCGUGCAAGUCGCGUGUGAAAGCCCCCGGCUCAACUGGGGAGGGUCACGCGAUACUGCUCGACUCGAAGGCAGGAGAGGGAAGUGGAAUUCCCGGUGUAGUGGUGAAAUGCGUAGAUAUCGGGAGGAACACCAGUGGUGUAAACGGCUUUCUGGACCAUAACUGACGCUGAGGCACGAAAGCGUGGGUAGCAAACAGG